This 447-nucleotide ribosomal RNA is filed under the name uncultured bacterium. RNAcentral describes it as "partial 16S ribosomal RNA". It matches the Rfam family "Bacterial small subunit ribosomal RNA", at positions 29 to 523 of the family's 1533-position model. The record is from RNAcentral.
AACGAACGCUGGCGGCAGGCUUAACACAUGCAAGUCGAACGCCCCGCAAGGGGAGUGGCAGACGGGUGAGUAACGCGUGGGAAUCUACCCUGAUCUGCGGGAUAGCUCCGGGAAACUGGAAUUAAUACCGCAUAUGUCCUGAGGGACAAAGAUUGAUCGGUUCAGGAUGAGCCCGCGUCCGAUUAGCUAGUUGGUGGGGUAAAGGCCUACCAAGGCGACGAUCGGUAGCUGGUCUAAGAGGAUGAUCAGCCACAUUGGGACUGAGACACGGCCCAAACUCCAACGGGAGGCAGCAGUGGGGAAUAUUGGACAAUGGGCGCAAGCCUGAUCCAGCCAUGCCGCGUGAGUGAUGAAGGUCUUAGGAUUGUAAAGCUCUUUCACCGGGGACGAUAAUGACGGUACCCGGAGAAGAAGCCCCGGCUAACUUCGUGCCAGCAGCCGCGGUAA